RNAcentral lists this transfer RNA (63 nucleotides) under Rattus norvegicus (Norway rat). It matches the Rfam family "tRNA". From Rfam's summary of the family: Transfer RNA (tRNA) molecules are approximately 80 nucleotides in length. Their secondary structure includes four short double-helical elements and three loops (D, anti-codon, and T loops). Lineage: Eukaryota; Metazoa; Chordata; Mammalia; Rodentia; Muridae. The record is from Rfam by way of RNAcentral.
GGGGAUUUAGCUCAGUGGUAGAGCACUUGCCUAGCAAGCACAAGGCCCUGGGUUUAGUCCCCA